Molecule: long non-coding RNA, 215 nt
Filed under: Elaeis guineensis (African oil palm)
Lineage: Eukaryota; Viridiplantae; Streptophyta; Magnoliopsida; Arecales; Arecaceae
Description: long non-coding RNA (EGUI_LNC032038)
Source: RNAcentral
GGACCCCACGGAGUCCUAGGACCCCCUAUAAGAAUACCCCUUUCCCUUGAGACCCAACAUCGACCUCCUUUCUCUCUCUUUCUCUCCGUUUUUCUCGAUCGAAGGCCGCGGACACCGGUUGAUUUCUCGCCGUGAUUGCCGCCGACGAGGUCUCCGGAGGCUGAGGUAAGUUUUCCUCUUCCUCCCCUCUUUCUUUUCCUUCCUCCCAUGCUCCU